AUGCUUCAGUCUCACUAUGUGGAAAAGGUCUUGAGUCGUUUUGGGUAUAGCGACUGCACACCUUCUCCAACUCCAUAUGAUGCUAGUGUGUUGCUUCGAAAGAAUCGACGGAUUGCUAGAGAUCAACUGAGGUAUUCUCAGAUUAUUGGCUCACUUAUGUAUUUGGCGAGUGCCACGAGGCCUGACAUCUCUUUUGCGGUGAGCAAACUGAGUCGGUUUGUGUCAAAACCGGGAGAUGAUCAUUGGCAUGCGCUUGAGAGAGUUUUGCGCUAUUUGAAAGGCACCGCGAGCUAUGGGAUUCACUACACCGGAUAUCCAAGUGUACUGGAGGGUUAUAGUGACUCAAACUGGAUAUCUGAUGCUGAUGAGAUUAAGGCCACAAGUGGUUAUGUUUUUACACUUGGUGGUGGCGCUGUUUCCUGGAAGUCUUGCAAGUAG
This 438-nucleotide ribosomal RNA is filed under the name Triticum aestivum (bread wheat). Its description in RNAcentral is "partial small subunit ribosomal RNA". Lineage: Eukaryota; Viridiplantae; Streptophyta; Magnoliopsida; Poales; Poaceae. The record is from RNAcentral.